AGAAGGUGUCGGAUAGUUGCCCCGAUAUUAUGUCGGGGAGGAAAGUCCGAACAUUCGUUGUGAGAUGUCGCACAUGUGCAAUUUCACAAAAGGGUAGCAGGUAACACCUGUCGGGAGUAAUCCUAGAGAUGCGAACAGUGACGAAGCCGGCUUGCCUCGCCUUGGCGGGGUGAAUCCGGAGUGAAACGGCAAAAUUCUUACCUGAAUGCAAGGCCGUGUCCCGAUUCACCAUGUGUGAAUCGUGGAAGUGCCGCUAUAGGUUCUAAGCGAUUAGAAUCACAGAUAAAUAACUAUCGACAACAGAAUUCGGCUUAUAGACACCCAACCC
RNAcentral lists this RNase P RNA (328 nucleotides) under Candidatus Zambryskiibacteriota bacterium. Its description in RNAcentral is "Candidatus Zambryskibacteria bacterium RNase P RNA component class A". It matches the Rfam family "Bacterial RNase P class A". From Rfam's summary of the family: Ribonuclease P (RNase P) is a ubiquitous endoribonuclease, found in archaea, bacteria and eukarya as well as chloroplasts and mitochondria. Its best characterised activity is the generation of mature 5'-ends of tRNAs by cleaving the 5'-leader elements of precursor-tRNAs. Cellular RNase Ps are ribonucleoproteins. Lineage: Bacteria; Candidatus Zambryskiibacteriota. The record is from RNAcentral.